AACAAUGGUUGGGUGUUUUGAGGAUGGGAUGUUUCGGUGGUCAUUGGUGGGUGAAAUUCUAGUUAUCAGACUUUAGAUGUCACACAGGUUGUUAUGACAUCCAAUUCUGCAUAGACAAGAAUUAUGCAGAACUUAAAAGUAAGUGCAGUAAAUAACACAAGCAAUUGUUUACCCAGUUCAGUCCAACAUGACCUACAUCUGG
This 202-nucleotide long non-coding RNA is filed under the name Lathyrus oleraceus (garden pea). RNAcentral's name for it is "Pisum sativum (pea) long non-coding RNA (PSAT_LNC034223)". Lineage: Eukaryota; Viridiplantae; Streptophyta; Magnoliopsida; Fabales; Fabaceae. The record is from RNAcentral.